UGGCCUACGGGGGGCAGCAGGCGCGAAAACUUUACCAUGCGGGCAACCGUGAUAAGGAAACCCCGAGUGCCAGCACAGGCUGGCUGUCCGCCAGUGUAAAUAACUGGUGAAGAAAGGGCCGGGCAAGACCGGUGCCAGCCGCCGCGGUAAUACCGGCGGCUCGAGUGGUGGCCACUAUUACUGGGCUUAAAGGGUCCGUAGCUUGAUAUGCAAGUCUCUUGAGAAAUCCGCCAGCUUAACUGGUGGGCGUUCAGGGGAAACUUCAUGUCUAGGGACCGGGAGAGGUGAGAGGUACUGCCGGGGUAGGAGUGAAAUCCUGUAAUCCCGGUGGGACCACCUAUGGCGAAGGCAUCUCACCAGAACGGGUCCGACAGUGAGGGACGAAAGCUGGGGGAGCAAACCGGAUUAGAUACCCCUGUAGUCCC
RNAcentral lists this ribosomal RNA (425 nucleotides) under uncultured Methanospirillum sp. RNAcentral describes it as "bacterial SSU rRNA". It matches the Rfam family "Archaeal small subunit ribosomal RNA", at positions 317 to 748 of the family's 1478-position model. Lineage: Archaea; Methanobacteriati; Methanobacteriota; Methanomicrobia; Methanomicrobiales; Methanospirillaceae. The record is from RNAcentral.